Molecule: ribosomal RNA, 429 nt
Filed under: Actinomycetes bacterium
Lineage: Bacteria; Bacillati; Actinomycetota; Actinomycetes
Description: Actinobacteria bacterium partial 16S ribosomal RNA
Rfam family: Bacterial small subunit ribosomal RNA
Source: RNAcentral
UAGGGAAUCUUCCGCAAUGGGCGAAAGCCUGACGGAGCAACGCCGCGUGAGUGAUGAAGGUCUUCGGAUCGUAAAACUCUGUUAUUAGGGAAGAACAAAUGUGUAAGUAACUAUGCACGUCUUGACGGUACCUAAUCAGAAAGCCACGGCUAACUACGUGCCAGCAGCCGCGGUAAUACGUAGGUGGCAAGCGUUAUCCGGAAUUAUUGGGCGUAAAGCGCGCGUAGGCGGUUUUUUAAGUCUGAUGUGAAAGCCCACGGCUCAACCGUGGGGGGUCAUUGGAAACUGGAAAACUUGAGUGCAGAAGAGGGAAGUGGAAUUCCAUGUGUAGCGGUGAAAUGCGCAGAGAUAUGGAGGAAAACCAGUGGCGAAGGCGACUUUCUGGUCUGUAACUGACGCUGAUGGGCGAAAGCGUGGGGAUCAAACAGG